Dioscorea cayenensis subsp. rotundata (Guinea yam) is the source of this 468-nucleotide long non-coding RNA. RefSeq lists it as uncharacterized. The transcript is spliced from 2 exons. Lineage: Eukaryota; Viridiplantae; Streptophyta; Magnoliopsida; Dioscoreales; Dioscoreaceae. The record is from RefSeq and is a predicted model, not a curated record.
UUUGCUUUUUUGUUUCCUAUUUUUUCUUUAAGUGUGUCCUUUUUUAUUAUGAUUGGUGCAAUAUUCAUUCCAUCGAGCCACAAGUAAAACUAUCAGGGUUAAUAUAUGUUUUUCUUCAAUGGUUGAUGAAUGACAGGAUGGAUUCAUAAAUUCACUUGCAUUUGCAAAAUCAGGGCGCUUCUUUGUUGCAGGGGUUGGACAGGAACCUCGACUUGGUCGAUGGGGUCGUGUUCCGACAGCUAGAAAUGGGGUUGCUAUACAUCCAAUUAGACUAGCAGAAGAACGAGGCUUGCGAUCAUGAAAAUACUACCGAAAUCUUUUGGUUCCACUCUCCUCGCACCUUGCAGUAAUGUGAUGAUAAAGAAUUCCUCAAUUUUGUCUUGAGAGCUUUUGUACCAUGAGGCCUUGUCCAGGUUCAUCUUUGAGUAUCUAAUUUUUUUCAGUCAAUUUUUGAGGGUCUGUUUAACA